RNAcentral lists this small nuclear RNA (168 nucleotides) under Oncorhynchus kisutch (coho salmon). Its description in RNAcentral is "U2 spliceosomal RNA (ENSOKIG00005042519.1)". It matches the Rfam family "U2 spliceosomal RNA". From Rfam's summary of the family: U2 is a small nuclear RNA (snRNA) component of the spliceosome (involved in pre-mRNA splicing). The record is from Rfam by way of RNAcentral. Lineage: Eukaryota; Metazoa; Chordata; Actinopteri; Salmoniformes; Salmonidae.
AUAAUUUUGCAACCCUAAUCAAGUGUAGUAUCUGUUCUUAUCAGUUUAUCUAAUACAUCCCCUGCCGGGGAUUACUUAUUAAAUGGGGUUUUCAAAUAGGGAGUGGGAAAUGGGAGUUGCUCCACUUUAUUUAUUUAACUGGGCAAAUCAGUUAAGAACAAAUUCUUA